AUACGGAGGAUGCAAGCGUUAUCCGGAUUUAUUGGGUUUAAAGGGUGCGUAGGCGGUUUGCUAAGCGGGAGGUGAAAUGCCGGCGCUCAACGUCGGAAGUGCCUCCCGAACUGGGGGACUUGAAUGACCCUGCCGUGGGAGGAAUGUGUAGUGUAGCGGUGAAAUGCUUAGAGAUUACACAGAACACCGAUUGCGAAGGCAUCUCACGAAGGGUUGAUUGACACUGAGGUACGAAAGUGUGGGGAGCAAACAGGAUUAGAUACCCUGGUAGUCCACACCGUAAACGAUGAGCACUAGGUGUCGGGCUCGCAAGAGUUCGGUGCCGCAGUUAACGCAUUAAGUGCUCCGCCUGGGGAGUACGUACGCAAGUAUGAAACUCAAAGGAAUUGACGGGG
Molecule: ribosomal RNA, 395 nt
Filed under: uncultured bacterium
Lineage: Bacteria
Description: partial 16S ribosomal RNA
Rfam family: Bacterial small subunit ribosomal RNA
Source: RNAcentral